CCUACGGGGUGCAGCAGUGAGGAAUAUUGGUCAAUGGCCGGAACGCUGAACCAGCCAUGCCGCGUGAAGGUCAGUGCCCUAUGGGCGUUAAACUUCUUUUGUGCGGGAGCAAUAAUGGUCACGCGUGGCCAGAAGAGAGUACCGUACGAAUAAGCAUCGGCUAACUCCGUGCCAGCAGCCGCGGUAAUACGGGGGAUGCAAGCGUUUACCGGGUUUAUUGGGUUUAACGGGUGCGUAGGCUGGCAGGUAAGUCAGCGGUGAAAUGCCCCCGCUCAACGGGGUGAAGUGCCAUUGAUACUGCCUGGCUGGAGUGCGGAUGCCGUGGGAGGAAUGUGUGGUGUAGCGGUGAAAUGCAUAGAUAUCACACAGAACACCGAUUGCGAAGGCAUCUUACGAAUCCGCGAUUGACGCUGAUGCACGAAAGCGUGGGUAUCAAACAGGAUUAGAUACCCCGGUAGUC
This 460-nucleotide ribosomal RNA is filed under the name uncultured bacterium. RNAcentral's name for it is "partial 16S ribosomal RNA". It matches the Rfam family "Bacterial small subunit ribosomal RNA", at positions 338 to 795 of the family's 1533-position model. The record is from RNAcentral.